Molecule: RNase P RNA, 345 nt
Filed under: Clostridium tarantellae
Lineage: Bacteria; Bacillati; Bacillota; Clostridia; Eubacteriales; Clostridiaceae
Description: Eubacterium tarantellae Bacterial RNase P class A
Rfam family: Bacterial RNase P class A
About the family: Ribonuclease P (RNase P) is a ubiquitous endoribonuclease, found in archaea, bacteria and eukarya as well as chloroplasts and mitochondria. Its best characterised activity is the generation of mature 5'-ends of tRNAs by cleaving the 5'-leader elements of precursor-tRNAs.
Source: Rfam by way of RNAcentral
CGAGUAAGUCAGACAAUCGCUGCUAAUGUUUAAGCAUUAGGAGAGGAAAGUCCGAGCUUCAUAGGGCAGGGUGCUGGUUAAUGGCCAGUGGAGGCGACUCUAAGGAAAGUGCAACAGAAAUAUACCGCCUAGUUUUUAGGUAAGGAUGGAAAGGUGAGGUAAGAGCUCACCAGCAUAUAGGUGACUAUAUGGCUAUGUAAACCCCACUUGAAGCAAGACCGAAUAGAGGGAUAAAUGGAGUUGCCCGCUCCGUCCCUGGGUGUGUCGCUUGAGCUUAUCGGCAACGGUAGGCCUAGAUAGAUGAUUGUCAAAUACAGAACUCGGCUUAUAGAUUUAUCUCGAAUG